UAACUGGAACCUGGAUCAGGUUCCGCCCUUGCGGCGGAUGAAAAGGGAAUACGGUGCGCCUUCAGGCAAUUCCGUGGCUGCCCCCGCAACUGUAACCGCAGAGCCGUUUCCAUGAUGUCACUGGGCCUAUGUCCGGGAAGACGGAAACACGGCGAUGACGCGGAAGCCAGGAGACCUGCCGGAUCCGGUCACCCUUG
This 197-nucleotide non-coding RNA is filed under the name Martelella endophytica. The record is from RNAcentral. Lineage: Bacteria; Pseudomonadati; Pseudomonadota; Alphaproteobacteria; Hyphomicrobiales; Aurantimonadaceae.